Molecule: long non-coding RNA, 341 nt
Organism: Ictalurus punctatus (channel catfish)
Lineage: Eukaryota; Metazoa; Chordata; Actinopteri; Siluriformes; Ictaluridae
Source: Ensembl
CUUCACUUCAUCCAGGAGCUGUGAAAUGGCGCUGCUCGUCCUCCUGUUCUUCUUCCAUCUGAUUCUGGACAUUAACUCUCAAUAUGUUCCUCUCCCAGCUCCAGUCUCAGUGCGGUAUCAGAAACCGAGACUAAGCGUCAGUCAUGAUGAUCAGUUUGAUGUAUUCAGAUUUGUGUGUGAAAUAUCAGGGUCAGAGUCAGUAACUGCUGAUUUUAGCUGUAAUCUCUACACUGGAGAAAAUCCUCAGCCUUAUGUAAAGACAGGAUCUCAGAAGGCAGUUUGUAGAUUUACAGCAAAGAAAAAUGAUCUGUUUAAUCGUCUGCAGUCAGUAAAGAGUCGUG